This 163-nucleotide unclassified non-coding RNA is filed under the name uncultured Dothideomycetes. Its description in RNAcentral is "sequence contains ITS1". Lineage: Eukaryota; Fungi; Ascomycota; Dothideomycetes. The record is from RNAcentral.
UCGAGUUCUGGGUCUUUUAGGCCCUUACUCCCACCCUUUUGUGUACCUUACCUUAACUUCAGUUGCCUUGGUGGGGAACGGAAUUUCACGAUUCCUUACCUGCCAUGGGGACUUUAUUAAACUCUUAUGAAUUGAGUCGUCUGAGAAAAAAACAAAUAAGUUA